RNAcentral lists this ribosomal RNA (211 nucleotides) under uncultured bacterium. RNAcentral describes it as "partial 16S ribosomal RNA". It matches the Rfam family "Bacterial small subunit ribosomal RNA", at positions 1290 to 1500 of the family's 1533-position model. The record is from RNAcentral.
AGUUCGGAUUGUAGUCUGCAACCCGACUACAUGAAGCUGGAAUCGCUAGUAAUCGCGGAUCAGAAUGCCGCGGUGAAUACGUUCCCGGGUCUUGUACACACCGCCCGUCACACCAUGGGAGUCGGAAAUGCCCGAAGUCUGUGACCCAACCGCGAGGAGGGAGCAGCCGAAGGCAGGUCGGAUGACUGGGGUGAAGUCGUAACAAGGUAGC